RNAcentral lists this long non-coding RNA (422 nucleotides) under Canis lupus dingo (dingo). RNAcentral's name for it is "lncRNA (ENSCAFG00020002600.1)". Lineage: Eukaryota; Metazoa; Chordata; Mammalia; Carnivora; Canidae. The record is from RNAcentral.
AUGUGGGCAUCUGGAGACCCUUGGCCUUGUUGCUUCACUUAUCCGCAUCACCUUCUGAAAUCAAGAUACUUCAUCAAGUCAGUGAAGCUCAGGAUUGACCAACAGAUGCAUGAACAGGAGCUGGAAAAAAUUAUGGAAGAGAGACUGGAAGAGCGAUGGCUGGUGUGCAGAGCCUGCAUCACAUCUCUAUGGGGACUGUGCCAGAUCAGCCCCCUCUGUAAGGCUCCAGGUUCCCAGUGCUCCAUCACUUGCUCUGGCUUUGGGGGAUUGUAGCAGGUGUCGCUAACAUCGUGCCCACAUUCUCUGGCCCAUCUUGGAGUUAUUUUUGGAGAUAUUUUCCAAGAUAAAAAUGUGAGUGUAGAGGAGCCUGCUGUCUCCCUUGGAAAAGCAUGCACCUCUUGAUCUACCUACUACUACCCUGC